This is a long non-coding RNA of Peromyscus californicus insignis, 2357 nucleotides long. RefSeq lists it as uncharacterized. The record is from RefSeq and is a predicted model, not a curated record. The transcript has 3 exons. NCBI's taxonomy places the organism in Eukaryota, Metazoa, Chordata, Mammalia, Rodentia, Cricetidae.
CCCCCGAGAUAACAUGACCAGAUUUUGGAGAUGGGCUGUAAAACUCCCGACAGAGCAAACAGACAAACUAAAAUAAGAUAAAGUCCAAGCUCAGGAAGACUGGACCAAUCAAGGAUGGACCCGUACUAACCCCCUCCUCUCUGAAGAAUUUUGUGGUUUUUGCCUUCAAAAGCUAACCUCCCCAAGAAAGUAUUGCGCCGAGAAGUGAACCUUGCUAUUGCAUUCUGGACAUCUUUGGUCUACAGUGGUCUCUUUGGGGGUCCUAAUCUGGGCAGAACAACCAGAAUUCUCGGCAAGCCUGUGUGUGCUACAUGGUGACAGCCCUUCUGUUACUUAACUGCAAGGAGACGGAACUUGCCUGCAAUGAGAUCAUCCACCGUGUCUCUGAAAUCCUGCAGGUUGAAAUCUUCUUCGGUUUGCAAGGAGUGGUUCUAAAAUAAACCAACGGUGUGAGCCAGAGAACAAUUCUAGACAGACAGACAUCCUCGAAGCUCCUAAGGCUAGUCUGUAUGCACUCUGGUUCACAAGCAGAAAUUUUAAGCUUCAUCUCACCCAUCGAACGUUUCUCUAAAAGUUGGAGUUGGCUUUUCACCUGUGGUGGAAUACACCUUCAUGUUGCCUGGCCAGUGUUCCCAGGUGCCUGAGAGAGAAGGAAAUGGAAAAAAGGUGGGGGUCCAGGCAUCUUCCUAGUCUCUUAAGGGAUGGACAUUUCAAGUCGAUGACAUUUUUCUAUUUAUGUAAUCUCUUAGUUAAUCCUCCCCCCAGUAUGGAAAGUAGGCAAGGUCCACAGGAUGCUUCUUCCUCUUGAGAGAGAAUCCUGCAGAAGAUGAACUGCCCGAUGCCUGUAUCAUUCCUCUCUCCUGGCUGUUUCAUUGUCUGUCUUUUUAGGAAUCCCUGGCUUGCUUGGAGGCCAGUGUUAGAAAGGAAUCUCUAGGACCAUGGUAUGAAGGGAUCCAUCCCAGAUGCCCACCAGAAAUGUCUACUGAUUCCACUAUUGAUUCUUAUCUUUGUAUUAAUCAUUUUCUUCUUCCUAAAGCCCCUCUUUCCAAGUCAUAUAUUUUGGGGACUCAAAACUUACUCUGACUCUAACCUUUUUUUCUGGCCCUGUUUUCAAAGUACCAGAUUCCCUCAUGGAAAAAAGGAGAGAUGUCCUCGGUAGCUGUUGGACGUUGAGGACUCUGGGUCAGGUGACAGAGCCCUAGGCUUGUCUUCUUUAUUUGAGCAUUAGAUCUAAAAAGAAUUAAGCAGCCUCUGCAGAGUAGUGGUCACUCCCUUAAGGUCACUUAACCUUGCCUUAAGAUACUGCUUCUGGGCACCACCCCUACCCUAAGGUUGUAAGUGGCUAGUAAAGGUGUCCUUAGGAAUGUUGCUUAGCUUCUUCAUGGUGGUUAUGAAUUUUGCAGAGUUCUGUAACGGGCCUGUUCCCAUGGACCUGUGGUCCCAGCAUCUGCUGUUAGGAAAUUGGAUGUAGUCCUCUUCCUGUGGGUUUCAUCUGGAUAAGACCACCUGUCCUUCCGGACACUUCAUGUGCCACCAAAGAAGAAUCAAGACCCAGGCCUCUGAGGUCCUGGAGCUGAGGAGGCUCCAUUCUCUGGCUGGGAUGUGUCAGCGAUGGCAGGAGGAGAGAAUGGGAUGAAGUAGGAAGGUUUAGAGGAAAACGGGGAAAAGUUUCUCUCCUCCAAGAUGACAAAGGACUAGCAUGUUGGGAGGAACAGAAUAAAACUUUUAAAGCGGCCAGCUGCCGAACGUCCAUCUCUGCAGACAGAACGUUUUCCUCCAGCUUGUUUACAGAGUCCCUUGUCCUCUCCCCCAGUGACUUCGAUACUCCGUUGGUACCCACGAAAUAGAAAUGGUUCCUGAGGGGUCAGAAGUGGGUGGCAAACAAAACAGUUAUUCUCUGCGCGUGUGCCCCAAUCACGUGGUUCCUCACCCUACCAGCUCCGAACUGCCUUGUUCAGAUGAAUGACAAAGGGACCCUGCAGUAAAAGUUGGCCACACCGGCUCCGAAAAUGAGAACUUAAUAACAUACUAGGAGGAAGGAGAAAAUUGGGAUCUGGGAUGCUUGGCUUCCCUCGAUAUGCCGAAUGUGCCUCUGCUCCCAGUCCAUCUUGAGACCUUUGAGGCAAUAAACCCACCAAGUUCGCAGUUGGUUCUGUAGGUGGCCAAGCUCCAAGCAAGGGAAAGAGUACCUGCGAGGCGGAGGAAUCACCACUAGGAGACGCUUCGGAGCCGAGUAGCGAGGUGCAGUCUGCGAGGUCCUGCAGGUCUAUGGUGGUGAGGGCUGCGCGGGGAGAUCGGGAGACAAGCAUCCAGCGUACCCUAAGCCUCUCUGCCAGGUCGCCGCCAGGACCCUCAAC